CAGAAGUGUGGGCCAACGGGCACCAUUUGCUGAGCAGUGUGCCGAGCUUGGUUUCUGAACCCCCAGUGGGCGUGAUGACAGACGGGCCAUCUGUACUCAAGACCAGCCCGGGGGGAGGGUGGACGAGAAGACACUGUGUGCAGCCUACAGCCUCCCUCCUCCCAGGAUGGCCACUGCCCAAGCACACAGGGAGCAAAAGCCUACCACCAUGAAGUCAAAGAGAAAACCAGAAAUCAGAACAAGAGCUGAGGAUGGACAGAGGGUGAACGGAGGCAAGUGAGGCCGGGAGGAGGGAGGAAGAGGGAGGACACAGAUCCGGAGGGCUGAGCUCGGGGCAGGUCCAUGGGUGCUCCAGUGUCCCCCAAAUGCUCGUGUGAACGAGGGGGGCUUUUCAGAGGCGGCUGGAUCUAC
Long non-coding RNA from Fukomys damarensis (Damara mole-rat), 411 nucleotides. RefSeq lists it as uncharacterized. The record is from RefSeq and is a predicted model, not a curated record. NCBI's taxonomy places the organism in Eukaryota, Metazoa, Chordata, Mammalia, Rodentia, Bathyergidae. The transcript is spliced from 3 exons.